Molecule: long non-coding RNA, 559 nt
Organism: Oncorhynchus keta (chum salmon)
Lineage: Eukaryota; Metazoa; Chordata; Actinopteri; Salmoniformes; Salmonidae
Exons: 5
Source: RefSeq, a predicted model, not a curated record
AAUGGGGUUCUAACAUGGCUGUUAUAGAAUGUUGUAGUGUCAUGUUAAUGAGGUUCUAACAUGGCUGUUAUAGAAUGUUGUAGUGUCAUGUUAAUGGGGUUCUAACAUGGCUGUUAUAGAAUGUUGUAGUGUCAUGUUAAUGAGGUUCUAACAUGGCUGUUAUAGAAUGUUGUAGUGUCAUGUUAAUGGGGUUCUAACAUGGCUGUUAUAGAAUGUUGUAGUGUCAUGUUAAUGGGGUUCUAACAUGGCUGUUAUAGAAUGUUGUAGUGUCAUGUUAAUGGGGUUCUAACAUGGCUGUUAUAGAAUGUUGUAGUGUCAUGUUAAUGAGGUUCUAACAUGGCUGUUAUAGAAUGUUGUAGUGUCAUGUUAAUGGGGUUCUAACAUGGCUGUUAUAGAAUGUUGUAGUGUCAUGUUAAUGGGGUUCUAACAUGGCUGUUAUAGAAUGUUGUAGUGUCAUGUUAAUGGGGUUCUAACAUGGCUGUUAUAGAAUGUUGUAGUGUCAUGUUAAUGGGGUUCUAACAUGGCUGUUAUAGAAUGUUGUAGUGUCAUGUUAAUGGGG